Long non-coding RNA from Vespa velutina, 9684 nucleotides. RefSeq lists it as uncharacterized. The record is from RefSeq and is a predicted model, not a curated record. The transcript has 6 exons. Lineage: Eukaryota; Metazoa; Arthropoda; Insecta; Hymenoptera; Vespidae.
UCGGGAAGCAAUUUGGUUCGUCGAAAAAGGCCACGUGGGAUUCGGAAAAGACCAAUUAAAGACGGAUAAUCGUGAUAGCGAAUCGUUAAUAACUCUUACAACGAAUUUCAUUGUGACAUUGCACUUGAAAAAUUUUAUACUUGGCGCGAAAAGUCGAUUAAAGAGAAGAGGAUUAAUAUAGUACACGAUAGUAAAACGUUCUUGUAAUUCUCGUACUUUAAUGCGAAGCACUUUGAAACAGAGCGUCGAUGGAGCAAACACUCGUUCAACGACGACGAAAAGCAUCCCGUUCUGCUGAGGCACGAUUCGGUACUCUAACAACCAUCCUUCUCCUUCUCCUUUUUCUCCUCCUCCUCCUCCUCCUCCUCCUCCUCCUCCUCCUCCUCAUUCUCAUCCUCAUCCUCAUUCUCAACCUCUAUUUCUCCAUCUCCAGCAGCAUGUCGAGUGGUUCGAAGCAAUCCAAGUCCGCUCGCCGUUUCGCAUUAUCCGAGCGCGUGCAAUUUGCGAGUAGGAAGGAACUCUUUCCUAAAGUCGCAGCGCCAAACAAAUAAUUCUCUGCUCUCCUUUAUCGAGGUGAGAGCACUCUGUCUCGUAUUCUAGUCCAAGUACCGCGUCAUUGGAAUGGUGGAUGGGGCUUGCGAAAAGAGGGGCAAGGAAAGAGGAGGAGAAGGGGGCGGUAGCUUCCAAUUUGCGUCGAACCUCGACGAUUGUCGUUCCUGUGAGCCCGUCACAGGGAUUCGAAGCUUCUCAACGAGCCCCGCUUUCUAAAUGGAGAGAAAGAGAGAGGGAUAGAGAUAGAUAGAGAGAAACAGAGAGAGAGAGAGAGAGAGAGAGAGAGUAAAAAAGGAGGUGUUGCUGCGACAUCCACUAAGGUCGUGGCGUCGGCUGGGGAUCCGAUGAAAAGGCAAUUAGCCGAAUGAAAAUGUAACACGAGACCGCACGUGACUGCAGCGAGUUAGUGUAUACAAGAGAAAGAGAAAGAGAAAAAGAAAAAGAGAUAGAGAGAGAGAGAGAGAGAAAGAGAAAUAUAUAGGGUGAACCUCUCCUUUGGGUGAGCGUGUCGCGUAAUUGUCACUUUGUCAACGUGCGCGCGCUUCUCCUUCAUCUCUUCACCUCCACUUCCACCACCACCUUCAUCUCUCUCCCUUCCACCCGGCCCCACCUUCUCACUACAUCCCUUCCGGUAUACGAGGGGGCUCAGUAGUUUUUUCUCUCUUUUUGUCGGCCGUGAGAAGAGAGAAAGAGAGAGAAAGAGAGGGAGGGAGAGAGAGAGAGAGAGAGAGUCACUUGUUCUAAUUGACGGCGCGCGAGAUGCCGUCGUCUCACGACUAUCAUUCGUAAGUGGAAAUAGAGAGUGGAGUAAGAGGAAUAAAGAAGGGAUGAGGAAAGGAGAAGAAAAAAAAAAGAAAAAGAAAAUGAUAAAAACGGAUGUAAACGUGAGGGAAAAGAAGAAAUAGACCGGGAGACGGCAUGAUUCUCGCUUCUCUUUUUGCGGGAAGUCUUUUUGGGGGCUUGGAAAGUCACGAUUUCUCUGCGACAUGAAAAGAAAGAGAGAGAGAGAGAGAGAGAGAGAGUACGAUCGAAAGUUUCCUUCUCCUCUAUCCCUUCGUUCUAUGUCUCACCCAUUUCAGUUUGCACCCUUCAGUCCGACAGUAGCAGGAACCGCCCCCUCUUCCCUCUGCCACAGAAGGAACAUGCGAGAGUCGUUACCAUGAGACCAGAAGAGAGUUCUUCCUUUUUCACUUCCUCUAGCUUCCUAACGAUGUAUUUCCCGCUAUUGCUUUCCUGCGUGAACAAUGGCUGCAUGGAGCAGAAGGAGUAGAAGAGGAAGAAUGGAAGGACAGCUUCUCCUUUUCUUCCGUCUUCUGUCUUCCUACCGUAUAACCGGAGCCAAGAGUUAAGAAGAUAAAAGCGAGACAGACAGAUAGACAAAGAGAGAGAGAGAGAGAGAGAGAGAGAGAGAGAGAGAGAGAGAGAGAGAAAGAAAGAGAGGAAGAGGAAAAGGAUGCGCGAUGUAAAGGAGGCUGAGGUCGGAGGAGGAAUGGAAAGAGGUAGUACAGGCUCGGAUCAAUUGGAGGUAAUCCCUCGAGUAGAGUCUCCUGCUUCGCGGAGCAUGAAAUUCUUCCUGUCUCCUCUUGCUGCACGGACCUGUGAGAAGAGUGGCCUCCUUCCACCCACAUGCUUCUAUACUCUCUGGACGCAUCGACGUAUUUACCUAUCUGUGUGCACGAAUCAUGUUCGUGUUCGUGAUCGUCCACUCACGAGUAUGUAAGUGUACUUACGCUAUCGUGUCUCUAAGCGUUCGUGUAUGCGUGUGCCCUCGCUUCGAUGGCAUCCUCUCCUCUCUUCCCUUCUAAUCGCUCCUUAUCCGUCCCUUAUCCACGGCAUCAAGGGAUAUAUACGUGUGCCUUGAUUCGAACCAAUUACAUCGGUGGUUCACAAUUCAAUUUCGCCGAGAGAAAAAGAGCGAUAGAUCGACGUUAGCUAUUUAUCGAUUAUCGGGUGGUACCUAUAUACUCAACUCGUUAUUUUCAACCAACGAGAUAGACUUAAAUCUUUAACGUUCAAGAAUUUAUUCUUCUUCUUCUUCUUCUUCUUCUUUCUUUUAUCUUUUCUUUCUUUCUUUCUUUCUUUCUUUCUUGCUUUCUUUUUUUUUUCUUUCUUUUUUUCGUACACGAACAAGAAACAAUUGCAUUUUUUAUUACUUGCUCAGAACUUUUCAAUCGACCAUCGACAACGUUAUAUUCUAUUAUUUACUUCCGCUUCUACUUUUUCAAUAGGAUAUAUCUAUAGGUAAGUAAGGACACGCACAGAGAUUUCCUCUUUCAAGAACAAACAGACAUUCAAUUCGCUUUGAUAUUCAUCGAAUGUUUGGACGUCUCUAGCGUGCAUUUCCCAAUAUCAAAUUCCAUGCAUGAACGAGCAAAUACCCGAACAUCGGACUACGUUUCGAGUAUUAUCGACCGACUCCUUCGGUCUACUUAAUCCAAUGGAAUAUUCUCUAGUCUAGUAUCUACGCGAGAAAUUUUCUACAUUUCUCUCUCCCUCUCCCACUCUCUCUCUCUCUCUCUCUCUCUCUUGCUCUCUCUAAACGAUCGUCAUAAAAUACACGAAAAGGAAGAAAAUAGAAAUUUAUGAACUCAAUCUCGAUACGUACGUAGGUAAUAUCAUACAAACAUACAUACAUAUACAUAUACAUAUAUAUAUAUAUAUAUAUACACAUGUGUGUGUGUGUGUGUGUAUGCACAAGAUGUGUAGCUGAUUCUAAACGAAGAAAUAAAUCGACGUGAGACACAACUGCGAUGCAUUGAGAAUGGUAUAAAGCAGAAUAUUUUUCUGACUAUCCUCCUCCUUAUCCUCCUUCUACUCUCUCUCUCUCUCUCUCUCUCUCUCUUUCUCCUCUUCCUUCUCCUUUUCGUCUAUUUUUCUCCUCCUUCUUCGUGUAUCGUACGACCGGAGGGUAACAUUUUUCUCGCGAGUCAAAUCGCAACAAAGCUAUGGCGAUAGUGGCACGCGCUUUUUAUCGGCAUGCCAAAAUUGAUCGUAUGCUAUUUCUCUCUUCUUUCUCGUUUGAACGUAGAAACGAGAGAAAAAGAAAUUGGAUGAUAGAAGGUGAAUAGAAGGAGGAGGUGAGGAUGAAGGUGGAUGGAGUAUUUGAAGAGAGAGCGAGAGAGAGAGAGAGAGAGAGAAAGAGAGAAAAAGGGACGGGGUGAAUAUAUCGAAGGGUCGAUCGAGUCGCGUGGGCGAUGAAUUCCUUUACUCUUUACGUUUCUACUCUUUUACUCGUCGCAUUGUUUCCGAUACGCGAGAUUUAUAUUUGCCGCCACCAGCGGCCACUUUUUCUCUCGAUUGAUCUCAUUGUCCAUGAUCGUGAUUUAAGAAUCGCAUUAACGAACCACAUUCAAUCAAUUAUCCAAUGUAUCUAUCAUAGGAUUCCGCCAAUGUCACAUUUGACAUUUUGAUAUUUUUGAUUAAUGUAGCCGCGAUAUUGAUGAUCCUCGAAAUCUUUCUCAAAUUCAUAGCGAAAAAAAUAAAAAAAAGAAACAAAAAAGAAAGGAAGAAAAAAUAAUGCGAAGCUGUUCCUAAUUUUCGAGAUAUUAGAUAACUCGGUUCCUGGUAACGAGGGAAUCCUUGUUCUUGCUAUAAUUUGAUCGCGUGUCGAGGUUACGGCGAUGUACCGGCGCAGAUAAUUCUUCCUCUCUACGAACAAGCUUUUCACUGAUCCCAUCCUUAAGCAAAGACGGUUCGUGAAAAAUGAGCUCUGAGCUUCCUCGUAUCCUCUUUCGAGGAGUGUCUUCAAUUACGCGUCCGUGCAUGAAUCUUUGAAACGGAAAUUACGAGAAAGGAGGAAGAAGAAAAUAUUGAAAGGGAAGAAAGAGAGAGAGAGAGAGAGAGAGAAAGAGAAAGAGAGAAAGUGAAAACUUACGAAAACGAUUUUACACGCAGGGUGGCAUUAGACAGAAACGUCUUUUGAGUUCAUCCUCGUGUGGUUUGAAUUAAAGUUCCCGCAGCAAACUUCCGUUAAGACCCGACCAUAGAAGUCCACGCGCGUGGCGCCAAAGAAGAAGAGGAAAGAAAAAGAGGAUGAAGUAGAAACAGAAGAAAAAGAAGAAUAAGAAGAAGAAGAAGAAGAAGAAAAGUACAAGGAGAGAAGAACGAUAGCAUCGCAUCUCGCGUGGCAUCGCAUGUGUUUUCGUUUUACGUGUUGUACUUGCUCCACGAGAAAGAUCCAAGAAUAUCUUUGACUCUCACGGCCACCGUGGUUAAGGCUGACAAGGAUCGUCGAUAAAUGGAACACCCGUUGCAACUUUGUCGACUCUUCUUUGAGGAAAUUCCUAUGGUAAAACAUUCCUUUUUACGCGGGAAUAAAGUUCUUGGAAUAAUGUAACGAAACGACUGUGUUUGCGCGUCCUGUGGGUGGUUCUUUUUUUUCGACAAAAGAAGAAAAAAAAAUUAAAAAAAAAGAAGAAAAAAAAUAAGAGAAAAAUAGAAAAAGGAGGAGGAAUGCUGUUGUCACGAGGAAGCUUUCGGAAGUAUGGGAAAUAAGAAAAAAGAAAAAAAAAAAGAAAAAAAAAGAAAAAAAAAAUAAAUAAAAAAAGAAACAAAGCGUUCGAUAUAAUUUCGACGAGUUUACGAUCUUAAAAAAAGGCGAAACGAAAAUGAAACGAAUAAAUUUGAUUUCCCUUUAAUUCAACAAUUCACGUGACUAAAUCUAAUCCGUUUGUUAGAUAAGUCAAUGUACCACUAAUUAUCAUGAAAACCUUCAUCGAGAUAUAAGAUACAUCGUUGGAUUAUGUUAUUCGACUAAUACCUAUGCUCUCGGACGUACAUUUAUUAAACUGUACGGAUAAUAAAUUCGUAAGUAUGCUCGCGGAUACGAGAGUACGAGUGGGUGUGCGAAAUGGAAUUAUCGCGUGGAAUCGCGUCGAGACGACAGGCUCCAUGUAGUUUGUACGAUAAUAGGAUUAGAUUAUUACCUUAGAGACCAAACUCGUUAAAUUAUCUCGGAAAGUCGGAUUAUUACUUCGGGGGAAAAUCUGUCUUACCUUUAUUAUAUCCUUUUUCAUUGUUGACCAUUCGCAUAAUCAUAGAGCCCUUCUCCGACUCCUACCCCCCCCCCCCCCCCCCCCCUUAACCCCCGUGUUCCUUUGGGAAAAAUAAAAUCAUCGAAAAUUUUCUUUCUAUAAUAGAAAAGGACACUUUACAACGAAGAAAUAGAUUUUUCUCUAUUGUUUCUUAUGAUAUAUUAUAACGAUAGCAAAUUAUUAUCUUUCAUUUCAAUUUAAGAUUAUAUCUAUGAAUUUUCUAAUGCACCACGUCGUCAUUUUCAUCGUCAUCGUCAUUUUCGAGAUACACCGAUUAUACGAGAAUUAUCAUCUCCGUUCGACGUUGAACUUUCCUCUAAUUAAAUUCCUCAUAUAUUUUCGAAGGACUUUUAUAUCGACGUCAGCAAUCGUUUUUCUCGGAUGUACGGAAUAAUUCGUGCCUAUGCGAAAAGAAAAAGAGAAAUGAGAGGGUGAAAUGGAAAGAGAGAGAGAGAGAGAGAGAGAGAGAGAGAGAAAGUGAAAAAAAGCGGGAAAGCCAUUGUCGUUGCAACAAAGCCGCUUCUGGGUCCUGGCACGGGGUACUUCGUCGAUCGACGUUAAGGAGCCGACGAUGGAUCGUCGUUGUGACGGAGAGACCAGGAAUUUCACUCGUUGAAUAUGGAGGAAGAGAAAGAGAGAGAGAGAGAGAGAGAGAGAGAGAGAGAGAGCAAUGGUGUGAGACCAGAGGCCUGUCGAUCGUUCCUAAACGACGUGCAUUCAAGCCCGCAUCCGUUGUCAUGGAAAUCGAAGGACGGCUUCACCGUACCGACGUAUUGCCGACGUAACGGCGUUGAUGCGAUCGCGGAAGAAAGAGCCGCGGGCGACUUUAACUCGCCCCUUGCUACGAUGCACCCUCUACUCGAACGAAAAAUCCUCUUGCACCUUCGUUCGACCUUUCCCAAUUUAUCUCACAAAUUUUUUUUCAUCGAUCUCUCUAGUCCUCUCAUCCUUCUGCGAUAUUUUUAAAAAAGAGGAAAAAAGGAAGAAUAAUAAUAAAAAAGAAAAAAUACAAAAAUAAAAGGAGAAGAAAGUAUGAAUGAAUAAAUAAAUAAAUAAAUAAAUCAAUCAAUCAAUAAAUGAAUAUCGUAAUAAACGUUAUAGAGCUUACACGAGGGAAUAAGUAAGACGAAAGGAAGGAAGGAAGGAAUUUGAGCUCGUACGUGGUCUCGACCUGAAAGGACUUCGACCUUCUCGUAAAUUGGCGUAAACUACACCUGGCGUAAAUUCGCGUGCGAACGCGACAGGUUUCAUUAACGCCCGCGUUCCUGACUAUCAUACACGUGGGACGUAAGAUCUCCUAUCCUGGCAGGAGCAACAUUGUACCGUGUACCGUGCAUCUGGCCUGUGUUAUCUAAAAUAUAUACAUAUAUAUAUAUAUAUAUAUGUAUAUAUACAUACGUUUCUAACGUAUACAUGCAUAUGCAUGUUGCACGUACGCACGUAACUACUUACUAGAGCUAGGGACGAUAAACUUCCUAGACUUCCAACGGUAGCAACACUCGAGGUAUUUAUCUGCUUAUCUUUCGGGUUGGUUGUCGUGCACCCUUAAACCUUAUUACAAUUCCACUUUCCCAUGUUUUCCAUGAACGCUAACAAUUUUUUUGUCUUUCGUUUUUCAAAAUCCUACAUUUCCAACGACCUUCUAAUCCUCGUUCUAAAUUCCACAUUUAUAAUUCUUAAUAUUAUCUCAGAUAGAAACAAAUUUUUUUGUAUGUACGUCGAAGAUGAAAUAUUCGUCGAAUUCGAGACAAAAAAAAAAAAAGAAAAGAAAAGAGAAAAAAAAAGGAAAAGGAGAAAGAAAAUAAAAUGAAAAUCACACGAUUACACGAUCAUACGAGUAAUUUCGGACGAACUAAGAAAUUUAUAUAUGUCGUAUGAAGUACGCUAUAUAUGAAAAUGACUUUCGGAAGUGUCUUUCCAGAGAUGGGAAAUUACCGCAACGUUCUCUUACCAAGUAAUACCGGAAGAUGGUGUAACACUUUGAAAGUGACCACGAGUAACUGCGAUCACCAAGUUGGUAGAUACUGGAGCUAGCUACGUUUAUGAGAGAAGUUAUGUGAUCUCAUACGGAUAAUCUCUUUAAGACCGGACCUUCGGACGGAAGGGCAAACAAAUUUCACUCGUGACAACAGAAAAUCACAUUCGCAAUCAAGAGAGGCGAGCAUAUCAAAAAGGUUUUCGCGUGAACGAUCCGACGAGCAAUUAUGUUCACCGACUACGUUAAUGCGGUCGAAGCUUUUUUUCGAGAAAGGAAAAAGCUUUUUGGACGAUUCAGCCCAAAGAUGAGGAUGAAAAAAAAAAAUGUCGGGUGGAAGGAACGCAAAAUAAAAUAUGAUAAUCCUUAUGAUUAACCUUAUAUCGAUGCAUUGCCGACGACGAUGGUGACCAUUACUAAGAUCUUACUUCUACCCUAAACUCAUCGACCAUUCGAUGAAGGUGAAAGUUUUCUUCUUCGGAGGGUUGCCGAAGAAAAUUACCGGAUGGAAAAAAGUAAGAAAAAAGAAAAAACAAAAAAAAAAAAAGAAGAAGGAGAAAGAAAAAAGUAAAGGAAAACGGGAAGAACGUGUCUCUCGUUUCGAACUUCGAGAUCGGAACCUUCGCGAUCGUUUCCAACGUCGCUCGUGCCUUUACUCGUGCGUUUCAUCUACACACACGUACACGCGCACAUACACACACACACAUACGCAUACAUACAAAUACAAAGACACAUGCAUAUACAUAUACAUAUACACGUGCACUCGUUUCUCGUUGGGGUGAAAAGAAACUUUAUUCGUUCCGGUCUAACCGAGAGUUCCAGUAGAGGAGGUUCUAGUGAGGACGCAAAAAAAAAAAAAAAAAGAAAAAUCCGUGAUUAGAUGGCGGAGAUGUAACCACGUGGUUCUCCUCUUUACUCUUUCGCUCAGAAACCGCUCAAACUUUUCUAUUUUUUUUUUCCCCCUCCAACUCUCCGAGAGUAGUUACCUCUAUUUCUUUCACGCAGAUAGAUACGAUCGACUACCGGGUAACUCGUAAAAUAUUCCUAAACUCGCUUGAAAUUAGGAAGGGCAAGGGAAAAGGAAAAAAAAAAGAAAAAAAGAAAAAAAUAGAUAAAAAGAAAAAGAAAGAGAAAGAAAGGGGAAAGAAAAUGAACAAAGCGAAGAGAAAUAAUCGAGUCCAUUGUCGUUUCGUACGACGUUCUCAUGUAGGACGAUUAAUCGGAUCGUUAAGAGCAAUUACAUACAUACCUGUUUGUCGAUCAUUCAUUCAAUGGUUUUAACUGGAUCAUGCUCGAUGUUACGAAUUUACGAGAGUAUUCAAGGAGAGUUCGAGCGAGCUAUCGAAACGCGUUUCUAUGCAAGCAUGCAUUCACGUACUAGGUACCAAGUAGGUAAACGAAGAAAAAAAAUAAUUAAUGCGUUGGCUGGGUGUAUGUGUAUUAACGAUAAGUAUAUAUAGGUGUGUGUAUAUAUAUAUAUAUAUAUAUACAUAUACUAUGUACAAAACGUAAUCUCGCUUGUGCUUUGAUACGGAGCACUUGUAAGCGAACAGGGUACCUGGCAUUCACACGACACAUGGCCCAUUACGAAUUAAUGUAGCAUUUCACGGCGAAUUAAUUACACGGAGCGAGAACUCCCGAGUGCUCUCCAGUACGAAAGAGAGCCGCCCGAGCCGCUGAGUCACCCGACUGCUACUCGAGCACCAAAUCGUUUUAAUGGAACAACUGUUACCCGUCAAGCCUACUUUUGCCUCGGAGCAUUGCAUGAGCGAGAGCUCAGAGCCUCGUAGCUCAGAGCACGCGACAACGCGCGAUUUUUCCGCUCCGAUUGUUACCGCGAAAUGCAACCACGUUUCUACGGAAAACCGUAACGCUAACCCCCCUCGCCAGCCCUCCCCCCUCCCAAAAAAAGAACCCAACCCCGUCCUGUCCCAUACCAUUCCGCUUAUACCGUUACAACCAACUCGAGUUGAGCUUUACUUGUUGCGAUCCGCUUACGAAAUACCAUUGUACUUUCGUUCUUUCGUUUCGAUAAAUUCGAAUGGCUUUGAAUUGAAAUUUUCUCGCAGAUUUCUUGUUUAUAUUUCUUUUUCUUUUUUUCCUUUUUUCUUUUUCUUUAGCUCU